GGCAUAAAAUAAAUCUUCUCUGAGUGAUUGAGCAGCGAAUCCACUAAUGCAGACCAAUAAUCCUCUAUACUAGUCCCAUUGAUUAAGCUUGAUCUAAGACGAAGGGGAGAUUCAAUCCACACAACUGCAGCUUGAGGACAGGUAAAAAACAUAUGCUUUGAAGAUUUAGUUUCACCACAAACAUGACAUUCAGGUCCUAUGUGAGGGAUUCGAC
RNAcentral lists this unclassified non-coding RNA (214 nucleotides) under Hevea brasiliensis (rubber tree). Lineage: Eukaryota; Viridiplantae; Streptophyta; Magnoliopsida; Malpighiales; Euphorbiaceae. The record is from RNAcentral.